AGGGCACAUGAAGGAUGCCUUGGCACUGGCAGGCGAUGAAGGACGUGGUAAGCUGCGAAAAGCUUCGGUGAGCCGCACUCAGGCUGUGACCCGAAGAUGUCCGAAUGGGGCAACCCGGCUGGAGUAAUGUCCAGUCAUCGGCAACUGAAUAAAUAGGUUGUCGAAGCGAUACUCAGGGAAGUGAAACAUCUCAGUACCUGAAGGAAAAGAAAUCAACCGAGAUUGCGCAAGUAGUGGCGAGCGAACGCGCAAUAGCCUAAACCGAGAAGUUUACUUUUCGGGGUUGCGGGACUCCGUCUGGAGAGAACGAUGGUUAGCAGAAGGAACUGGAAAGUUCCGCCAUAGAGGGUGAAAGCCCCGUAAGCGAAAAUGAUCGAGUAUCCAGGAGUAUCCCAAGUAGGUCGAAACACGUGAAACUUUGACUGAAUCCGGGGGGACCACCCUCCAAGGCUAAAUACUAGCCAGUGACCGAUAGCGAAUAGUACCGUGAGGGAAAGGUGAAAAAGCACCCCUGUUAGGGGAGUGAAAAGUUCCUGAAAUCAUGUGUCUACAAAGUGUGGGAGCGCAAGCGACCGCAUGCCUUUUGCAUAAUGAGCCUGCGACUUACUCUAACGAGCGAGGUUAAGUUAAGAACGGAGCCGAAGCGAAAGCGAGUGUGAAUAGCGCGACUAGUUCGUUGGAGUAGACCCGAAGCUGGGUGAUCUAUCCAUGGCCAGGUUGAACCUCCGGUAACACGGAGUGGAGGACCGAACCAGUUCAUGUUGAAAAAUGUUUGGAUGAGCUGUGGAUAGGGGUGAAAGGCCAAUCAAACCCAGUGAUAGCUGGUUCUCUUCGAAAUAUCUUUAGGGAUAGCCUUGCGCAAUAAUUUACGGGGGUAGAUCACUGAUUGUUCGCGGGCCCUUACCGGGGUACCAACAACUAUCAAAAUCCGAAUACCGUAAAUCGUACCGCAGGAGUCAGACAGUGGGGGAUAAGCUUCAUUGUCGAAAGGGAGACAGCCCAGACCGCCGGUUAAGGUCCCAAAUUUAAGCUUAGUGGUUGAAGGAUGUGGAGUUGCAUAAACAGCCAGGAUGUUGGCUUAGAGGCAGCCAUCAUUUAAAGAGUGCGUAAUAGCUCACUGGUCGAGUGAUUCUGCGCCGAAGAUGAUCGGGACUGAAGCUUAAAACCGAAGCCGCGGAUUGUAACAAUCGUUACAGUGGUAGAAGAGCGUUGUAUGCGGGUCGAAGCCGAAGAGGGAUCUGAGGUGGACUGCAUACAAGUGACCAUGCAGGCAUGAGUAGCGAAAAACCGGAUGAGAAUUCCGGUCACCGAAAACCUAAGGAUUCCUGGGGAAGGUUCGUCCGCCCAGGGUUAGUCGGACCCUAAGGCGAGGCCGAAAGGCGUAGUCGAUGGACAACAGGUUAAUAUUCCUGUACUAUCUGAUCGUAGUGAUGGAGCGACGCAGUAUGCUAGAUGAGCCAACGAUUGAAAGUGUUGGUCGAAGCCAUUAAGGCGUGAUACAGUCAAAUGCGUAUCACAUAUGCCCCAGAGGUGUAAGGUAGUUGGAACGCAAGUUUCGACGAAUUUAUCGAUGCUACGCUGACGAGAAAAACUUCUAAGCGUUUGAUGAUCAGGUAUCCGUACCGUAAACCGACACAGGUAGGUGAGGCGAGAAGCCUAAGGUGCGCGAGAGAAACCACGUUAAGGAACUCGGCAAAUUGACCCCGUAACUUCGGAAUAAGGGGUGCCGUCAUGGUGUAGGGACUUGCUCCCCAAGCCUGCGACGGUUGCAACAAAGAGGCUGGUGCGACUGUUUAACAAAAACACAGCUCUCUGCUAACUCGUAAGAGGAUGUAUAGGGAGUGACACGUGACCAAUGCCAAAAGGUCAAGGGGAGAGGUUAGCGCAAGCGAAGCUUCAAACUGAAGCCCUGGUGAAUGUCGGCCGUAACUAUAACGGUCCUAAGGUAGCGAAAUUCCUUGUCGGGUAAGUUCCGACCUGCACGAAUCGUGUAACGAUGCCAGCACUGUCUCAACGUGGAUCUCGGCGAAGUUGUAAUUCCGGUGAAAAUGCCGGAUACCUGCGGAAGGACGGAAAGACCCCAUGAACCUUUACUGUAAUCUGAUAUUGGUAUUUGGUUAUGAUUGUGUAGCAUAGGUGGGAGGCUGUGAAGCCGCUACGCCAGUACCGGUGGAGCCACAGGUGAAAUACCACCCUGUUGUAAUUGAAUAUCUAACCCCGAACCGUGAAGCCGGUCAGGGAACAGUGUCAGAGGGUCAGUUUGACUGGGGCGGUUUCCUCCUAAAUCAUAACGGAGGAGCCCGAAGGUACACUCAACACGGUUGGCAAUCGUGUGCAGAGCGUAAGGGUAGAAGUGUGCUUUACUGU
This 2367-nucleotide ribosomal RNA is filed under the name human gut metagenome. RNAcentral describes it as "bacterial LSU rRNA". It matches the Rfam family "Bacterial large subunit ribosomal RNA", at positions 14 to 2376 of the family's 2925-position model. The record is from RNAcentral.